CAAGUGUUUGUUUUUUUCUGAGGGGAAUACUCUCAACAGACGCAGCAAUGCAGCUCCAAUUGCAGCAAAUGGCUCUGGUUUGUUCUGGGUGAACACAAACGGAUGGUCAGAAACCUGCUGUGUGCAGAGGAGCGACUGUCAGCCUAUGAGUCCACCUUCCUGGGGCUGCACGACGACUGCAGGGCUUCAUUUCCCACCGUGGCCCACUGACAUCUCAGCUCACGCAGCUUUUGCACCACUUCCUUAUUGGAUUUGGAUCGCUCCGUGUUCUAUCUGCAUUUCUGGUUGGAUUGCUGACUGGAGGGUGUCAGUGCCUUGACUGGUUGCAGAGUGGUCUGUCACUGGCGUGAGCUGCACAUACUGGACUUGGAUAUCGCUGCCUUGCAGUGGGGAUCCAUCAACUCCUCCCGAUGCAGGCUCGGCAGAUGCAACAGCUAUCAGCUGAGCGCCUUGCAACACCUGCCCAUCCUGCCCAACGUGCACUUGAUGUAUCUGCAGGUUUCCC
RNAcentral lists this long non-coding RNA (505 nucleotides) under Gallus gallus (chicken). Lineage: Eukaryota; Metazoa; Chordata; Aves; Galliformes; Phasianidae. The record is from RNAcentral.